UACGGAGGGAGCUAGCGUUGUUCGGAAUUACUGGGCGUAAAGCGCACGUAGGCGGUUAUUCAAGUCAGAGGUGAAAGCCCGGGGCUCAACCCCGGAACUGCCUUUGAAACUAGAUGACUAGAAUCUUGGAGAGGUCAGUGGAAUUCCGAGUGUAGAGGUGAAAAUUCGUAGAUAUUCGGAAAGAACACCAGUGGCGAAAGGCGACUGACUGG
RNAcentral lists this ribosomal RNA (212 nucleotides) under uncultured bacterium. Its description in RNAcentral is "partial 16S ribosomal RNA". It matches the Rfam family "Bacterial small subunit ribosomal RNA", at positions 524 to 732 of the family's 1533-position model. The record is from RNAcentral.